UACGGAGGGUGCGAGCGUUAUCCGGAUUCACUGGGCUUAAAGGGUGCGUAGGUGGGAAUGUAAGUCAGUGGUGAAAUCUCCGUGCUUAACAUGGAAACUGCCAUUGAUACUAUGUUUCUUGAAUUUUCUGGAGGUUAGCGGAAUAUGUCAUGUAGCGGUGAAAUGCUUAGAUAUGACAUAGAACACCGAUUGCGAAGGCAGCUAACUACAGGGAUAUUGACACUGAGGCACGAAAGCGUGGGGAGCAAACAGG
RNAcentral lists this ribosomal RNA (253 nucleotides) under uncultured bacterium. RNAcentral's name for it is "partial 16S ribosomal RNA". It matches the Rfam family "Bacterial small subunit ribosomal RNA", at positions 524 to 776 of the family's 1533-position model. The record is from RNAcentral.